AAUUACGUUACGUGGCCAGCGUGUUCUGAUUACUAGCUAUGAUGAGUAGUCGCUGAUUAAGUCCAGUCGUUUAAUGAACACCAGCUUAAACUUUGGCGGUGCCGAUUGAUACUGUUAGACUUGAUAAUUUGUAGUAGCUGAAUGCGUAGUGUAGCGGUGAGAUGAUCAUGAUAUUACGCAGAACCCCCGAUUGCGGAGGCAGGUUACUACGAAUUUAUUGACGCUGAGGCACGAAAGUGUGGGUAGCAAACAGGAUUAGAUACCCUGGUAGUCCACACUGUAAACGAUGAUAACUAGAUGUUCGGCAGCAAUGCUGAGUGUUCAAGCGAAAGCGAUAAGUUAUCCACCUGGGGAGUACGACCGCAAGGUUGAAACUCAAAGGAAUUGACGGGGGCCCGCACAAGUGGUGGAGCAUGUGGUUUAAUUCGAUGAUACGCGAGGAACCUUACCUAGGCUAGAAUGUGAGUGAAUUGACUUGAAAGGGUCAAGUCCUUCGGGACACGAAACAAGGUGCUGCAUGGUUGUCGUCAGCUCGUGCCGUGAGGUGUUGGGUUAAGUCCCGCAACGAGCGCAACCCCUAUCGUUAGUUACCAUCAUUAAGUUGGGGACUCUAGCGAGACUGCCGGCGUAAGCCGCGAGGAAGGUGGGGAUGACGUCAAAUCAUCAUGGCCUUUAUGCCUAGGGCGACACACGUGCUACAAUGGCCGGCACAGAGGGUAGCGAUACAGUGAUGUGGAGCCAAUCCCAGAAAGCCGGUCCCAGUUCGGAUUGGAGUCUGCAACCCGACUCCAUGAAGGUGGAAUCGCUAGUAAUCGCGCAUCAGCCAUGGCGCGGUGAAUACGUUCCCGGACCUUGUACACACCGCCCGUCAAGCCAUGGAAGCUGGGGGUGCCUGAAGAUGGUGACUAUAAGUGGAGCUAUCUAGGGUAAAACCAGUAACUGGGGUAAGUGUAACAAGGUAACC
Molecule: ribosomal RNA, 964 nt
Filed under: uncultured bacterium
Lineage: Bacteria
Description: bacterial SSU rRNA
Rfam family: Bacterial small subunit ribosomal RNA
Source: RNAcentral